Molecule: long non-coding RNA, 1296 nt
Organism: Selaginella moellendorffii
Lineage: Eukaryota; Viridiplantae; Streptophyta; Lycopodiopsida; Selaginellales; Selaginellaceae
Exons: 3
Source: RefSeq, a predicted model, not a curated record
CUGGGCAAGAAUACGAGGUGUGUGAGCGAAGAAGAUGCCAUGGCCGGGCAUUUUUUCCGUACCUUCGUGAGCCAUCGCUAGGACAAGGAUGGCGAGGAGGACGAGAGCCGCCAUGGGGGAGGAAGAACGAAGGGGAUUGGGGGAUUGGAUCAAGCGAAACGCGAUCUCUUCUUCCUCUCUUCGCAGUGCGUGCGUGACGUGAGAGCGAGACAGGGACGGAAAUGAAAAGAGAACGAUGGGCUUCACGAGAGAUGAACCGCAGCGCCAAAGAAUCCCUUCUUUUGCUACCUGGACGCUCGCUCUCUCUCUCUCGCUCUCGCUCACUCGCGGUCGCGGCUCGAGAGCUCUUUCUUCCUCCACUCUGCCGGCCAAACCAGGUAAUCUCGUUUUCGUCUUCCGUCUCACUUUGAAUCACACCUCUCAGUCAAACUAUGCUUGCGCCCGCAAGAGCUGAUCAGAGAGCAAAGCUAGCUACAAGGAAACAAGCGGAAGGACGGGCCGGGGUUAGCUGAAGCUGGAUAGAAACAACGGGAAAGACAAGGGACAACGAGCAAGAAGGCAAGUUCCUCUUUUUUAUCUUUUCUUUUGCGUGGGCUUCUCUGUUUGUGUUUUUCCUUGCGCUUUUUAUUCCUCUAUUCGCUUUUGUUUGCACUCUUUGGUCUUGCGACUUUCGAUUGAAUUGUCCGCGCCAGUAGCAGCAGCAGUCGCUGCAGUAUCAAUCGACCGUCAAGCAGUUUUUACCGCCGUACUAUGGCGACGACAGCUCAAGGUCUGCGCAGGCAAAUGAAUUGGAGAGACGCAAUCCAUGAGCAUCAGCAAGGGCCAAGCGAACAGAUAUCUUAUAAUGCUGGUGGUGCUUGGCGAGACUGUCUCCUCUCCUCCUAAAGCUGCAAGCCAGGCUCGGAUCCCAUGGAUCGAACUUGGUAGAAGACGGGAGUUCUUUGUGGAUUGCUGAUUUGUUUAUGCCUUUCUUUGGUGGGUGCUGCAGGAUCGAGGAGUCUAAAAGAUGAAAGGAAAGGGAAAGGUAUGAGAAGGGCCACAUUAGCUACAUGCGCGCACACGGUGGGUCAGACUGUUUCUCAGAUCUUUGCAUGGGGUGUUCCUUCUGUAAAGUGUUUGGUCAAACAGGGCAAGGACAGGACAAAGAAGAAAUCCAAAAGUUUGAAGAGACUGGAGUAAGACGAAACCCAGAGCAUUCAAUGAAACAAGUUGGAAUGGUGAAUGGUAAAGUAGGAAACACAAUAGAUGAAUUCCUGGUGAUGUUGAAAUAUUCAAUAAACUUCAUAUUUAAUAUUA